ACUGAUUUUGUUCGAUAAAGAAGUAAGCAGGGGUAAAGGUGAGUAACGUAAAAAAAUAAAACAGCUUUCACUUCAUGCUGUUUUAUUAAUUGGUUAAUUAGUUUAGAAAUGCCAAUUAAAACUCUUUACUCCAGCUGGAACGGAGCGGAAAGCGUUGAGACAAACCACCACGUAACGGUGAGCGGUAACGCGGGGUGAAACUGGUGUAAUUGCUCCCUAGAUCAAAGCGGUGCGUGUUGAAAAAGGAACUGCGGUUACGCCUUAAGCUCGACAAUUCCAAUGGUCUUCUAAGUGGGUAAAAGCUACUUGGACUGCGGUAAGCGCCAAAGCUGUUAAGGCUGUCGAAGUUCAAACUCGCUGGGUUGCGGUAGUUUACAGCCAUCGGUGUAACACCAGUAAACCGACUGGCAAUUGGUGUUGACUCUACUGUUGGCCGUGUAAAACGUGCUCAACUGUUGCGGAUUGCUGGAAGGUUAAACAGCGGUUCGUUGUACUUGGUAGCCACAUAUUCACUCGGUGGAGCUAACUGGUAGCGCUCGUGCGGUAAAGGCGUACGGGUAGAAGCAUCGUGGAGGUGACCCAAACUCGCUAGCUUUUCCAACAAUAAGGAACGGUUGGUGGUGUGAAUGGUAAUUGCACCACUUUCAUUAUUAACACAAGCUGACUGACACGGUUGUGGUUCCACUACCGAUGCAGGGGAUGGUUUUCAUUCCGGUUCGGGUUGUGUUGGACGGAUAAUUGGUUGGACUACCACUUCUGGUUGAACUACAACUGGUGGAACCGCAGGAGUUGUUUGGACUACCUUAGGUGUCACUUUAGGUGUAGCUACUUGAGGAGUAACUACUACCUGUGGUGCUGGCGUUGGUGUUACUACCUUCGGUUCUGCCUUAACAACUGGUUGAACUACAGCAGUUGGUUGGACAACUACUGGAGCAGGGGUUGGUUGUGGUGCUACUUUAGGUACAGCUGGAACAGGGGUUGGUUGGGCCACUUGGAGUGCAACUUUUGCUGUUACUACCUUCGGUAUUUCAACUUUAGGUGAGUCAACCUCAACAGUUACAGGUGUUGGUUGUGGUUGUUCCACUACCUUAGGCUCUACUUUAGGGGCAGGAGUAGCUUCUACCACUGGUGUUGGGGUAGGUUCCACUACCUUA
Molecule: small RNA, 1154 nt
Filed under: Mycoplasmoides pneumoniae M129
Lineage: Bacteria; Bacillati; Mycoplasmatota; Mycoplasmoidales; Mycoplasmoidaceae
Description: Mycoplasma pneumoniae M129 ncRNA
Source: RNAcentral